This is a long non-coding RNA of Oncorhynchus tshawytscha (Chinook salmon), 2898 nucleotides long. The record is from Ensembl. NCBI's taxonomy places the organism in Eukaryota, Metazoa, Chordata, Actinopteri, Salmoniformes, Salmonidae.
UGUGUGUGUAUAUACAUACAUGUGUGUAUAUAUACAUAUAUGUAUAUUUAUACACACACAUAUGUAUAUAUAUAUAUGUGUGUGUGUAUAUAUAUAUGUGUGUAUAUAUAUAUAUUCCUGUAAAAACACAAGUCAACUUUUAAGUUCAUUGGUCCCCCAUAUUGUGUGUUGGUGUACACUAUGUGUGCGAUCUGCCUUUGUGCACCAUUUAACCCUGAUUCUCCUGUUUCCUACCUCCCAAAUCACCCCUUCCCUUCUCCCUACCUUCCUGCUGCUACCCAAGUCCAGCACCUUGAACAUGAACUAUUUUCAACAUGUGGGGAUUAUAGGAGCGGUUUUAUUUAAUAAGGAUAAAAUAACAGCAAAGAAAAAACAGAAAGAAAAAGUCGAGGAAGCAAAAGAUAGACAUGACACACACAGAGUCCGGCCCUCAUCACUUACUGUACGCCUUCACAUCCCUGUCUUUUCCCCCGCCACCUCUCCUCUCUCCCAGCCGCCGAGCUUUCAGUAUGUCUGUCUUUAUUUUACUGCUGGACUAUUAUUCUUGUACAGACUGAAAAAUGUAUUAUUUUGUACAACUUUAUUGAAAAAAAAUAACUUGUAGAAGAUCCCUGUGCCUUGAUCACGACUACGUGUAAAAUGAGCUAAGAUGUAAGUUAUGUUUCACUGCGCUGUACAGCUAGGCAGGCCUCAGCCACCCCCUGUGAUGGUGCACCCUGGGUAGGGGUGGGGUCGGGGGACGAGGCUGCCGUCUAUUGCUUAGUUUCCAUUUUCCCACAUUUGUUUGUUUGUUUAUUAAUUUGUUUUUCUUUACUUUCCUCUGGUUUAUAUAAAAUAGGAUUUAAAGAAGAACAAUAAGCAGACAUGCCAACCUAAUGUUGUAAAAUAUUGAACUCUACCACAAUUUAAUAUAUAUAAAAUAUAUUUCAGAUUGUAUAUUUUAUGUACACUGAGUGUACAAAACAUUAAGAACACAUUCAAACAUUCAAAACAACCUCAAUUUGUAGGGGCAUAGACUCUACAAGGUGUCGAAGGCAUUCCACAGGGAUGCUGGCCCAUGUUGACUCCAAUGCUUCACACAGUUGUGUCGAAAUUGGCUGGAUGUCCUUUGGGUGCUGGCCCAUUGUUAUACACAUGGGAAACUGUUGAGUGUGAAAAACCCAGCGGCAUUGCAGUUCUUAAAAAUCUCUCUUUCACCUGUCUCCUCCCCUUCAUCUACAAUGAUUGAUGUGGAUUUAACAAGUCACAUCAAUAAAGGAUCAUAAGCUUUCACCUGGAUUCAACUGGUCAGUCUGUCAUGGAAAGAGCAGGUGUUCCUAAUGUUUUGUACACUCCGUGUAUAUGUUGUCUAUAGUAUCUCCGUUGUGAGCUCUCCCCAGGCUGUCUUUGCUUUUCGUCACCGACAUCAGCCUACAUUGUCAGAGGGGGAAUCUUUUUAUUUAUUUUUUAAAGCUUUAACUCUUCUUUUUUUUUAAUGGAGAGGCAAAUAUCCAAAUGCAAAACAUUGCUUGUUUCUACAUAAACCAAACUCUUUGCUUAAAACAAUGAAGAAAAAGAUUUUGUGCAGAGGCUCAGUCCCAUUUCUUUUUUGUAAGCUGCUAUUUUCCGUCAUCUCCACAUUCUUCAAACUGAGCCUCCUUUAUGGCCCGCAGCCUUGCCCUACUACCAGAUCACAACCACGAUGACCCUCUCUGUAUUAAGGAAAGUUACCGUACCCCAACGGCCGGGACACCUUCAGCCAUAUGACUAUACUCGGUCAUGGCUCUGUCUGUUACUAGCGCAUAGCAGUAUUUAUGUAUUUAUUUGUCAACUUUUGCCAGAUUUGGACAUGAGAGUACACCAAGCCCCACUCUUGAGGCAUAGCCUUGCCCUUUUCAAAUAGUGGCACUGUGACAGUGGUGGGAAACCAGGUUUCAGCUAUUACGUUCAUUUAGUAUGUUUACCUUGAUGUCUCCUCUGUUUUCCUAGCCUAACUCACUGCAGCAGCAAGUGAGUGUAAUUUUAGCACCAAAAACCACCUGGCUUUUUCUAUUUUUACAUGGAGUGUUUUCAAUGUAUGUUGCUUUUCCAUGUGUCUAGUACUUCCUGUACAUUUUGUACAAAGACUUCAAUUACAGCUGUAAAAGCAGAGUGUUACACUGUCUGAGUAAAUGGGAUGGGAGGGUUUGCGGGGUAGAUAAUGAGUUCACCCCAUCGAAGCUGUAAAUUCACUUACCAUAUGUGCUGGUGUUAGGUGAAUGAAAAAUGAAAGAACAAUAUAAAGAUGUUGACUAUAACCAGUGGUCAGCUAUAGAAUGGCUUCUUCCAAAAACAACCCCAGGUCCUUAACCUCUUUGGGGUUUGCAGAUCUGAAGGGACUGGAUAGGUGUAAAACUAGGUUAUUCUACUGUGAUUCUCAACUAGUCUUCCGAUUGGUCUAGGGGAGCUUCUGGGUUAUGUCGCUUACGUCUAUCCACUCAUUUCAUAACUGCAAGACUAGAGGGGUGAGGGGUUGUUUUUGGACAGAGUCUGAGAGACAAAGGCUCUCUGUAGCUCUAUGGUGUCCUGAAUUGAUGGUGUAUAGAUGAUCAUCAAUGCUGUGAGGCAGUUAUAAUCUGUUUGUCCAGUCAACUGUCAGCUUGACAAACAAGAUCAGCAAACCUUCAAAAUGGCCUUCAUGGUAGAUAACAGUCUCUGUUGCAUAUUGCCACAGGCACAUAAGAUGCAACAUUUAGGAACGGGUCUCUUCUUCAGUAGCCUGAACUAUUAUAACUUUAAAAUGUAAGUGUGGAGGAUGAAACUAGUCUUGUUGCUCUCCUGGCAAUUACUUGAACAAAGAACAAAACAGAUAUUUGAUCAGCUGAAUAUUAUUGUAUUAUGAGGACAAGAGUGCAACUAAAGCGACUUUCAUUCCCUGAU